RNAcentral lists this ribosomal RNA (426 nucleotides) under uncultured bacterium. Its description in RNAcentral is "bacterial SSU rRNA". It matches the Rfam family "Bacterial small subunit ribosomal RNA", at positions 376 to 793 of the family's 1533-position model. The record is from RNAcentral.
CGCAAGCCUGAUGCAGCCAUGCCGCGUGUAUGAAGAAGGCCUUCGGGUUGUAAAGUACUUUCAGCAGUGAGGAAGGCAGGUACGUUAAUAGCGUGCUUGUUUGACGUUAGCUGCAGAAGAAGCACCGGCUAACUCCGUGCCAGCAGCCGCGGUAAUACGGAGGGUGCGAGCGUUAAUCGGAAUUACUGGGCGUAAAGCGCAUGCAGGUGGUUUGUUAAGUCAGAUGUGAAAGCCCGGGGCUCAACCUCGGAAUUGCAUUUGAAACUGGCAGACUAGAGUACUGUAGAGGGGGGUAGGAAUUUCAGGUGUAGCGGUGAAAUGCGUAGAGAUCUGAAGGAAUACCGGUGGCGAAGGCGGCCCCCUGGACAGAUACUGACACUCAGAUGCGAAAGCGUGGGGAGCAAACAGGAUUAGAUACCCUGGUAG